This 253-nucleotide ribosomal RNA is filed under the name uncultured bacterium. RNAcentral describes it as "partial 16S ribosomal RNA". It matches the Rfam family "Bacterial small subunit ribosomal RNA", at positions 524 to 776 of the family's 1533-position model. The record is from RNAcentral.
UACGGAGGGUGCAAGCGUUAUCCGGAUUCACUGGGUUUAAAGGGAGCGCAGGCGGAUUGGUAAGUCAGUGGUGAAAUACCUGAGCUUAACUCGGGAACUGCCAUUGAUACUACCGGUCUUGAAUAUUGUUGAGGUAUGCGGAAUGGGUCAUGUAGCGGUGAAAUGCAUAGAUAUGACCCGGAACACCAAUUGCGAAGGCAGCAUGCUAAACAAAGAUUGACGCUGAGGCUCGAAAGCGUGGGGAUCAAACAGG